Molecule: long non-coding RNA, 599 nt
Organism: Macrobrachium nipponense
Lineage: Eukaryota; Metazoa; Arthropoda; Malacostraca; Decapoda; Palaemonidae
Exons: 3
Source: RefSeq, a predicted model, not a curated record
UCUCAGUUUGUGGUGGUUCUUCUCCCGAAGUUGGUGUCCGUGAUGAUGGUUUUAUUGCUACAUGGGAGGAGUUCGAGUGCUUGAUGGCAGGUUGCCAAUGAUUUGUACCGCAUAAUAUGGACGAUUAAGGAACAACUUCGAAGGUUUCGAGAAGGUUACAGAUAUUUGUAACGGGCUGCGCCAUGGAGCAAAAAACCCCUGCAAGCAUUAGGCCAGCUUAGAAAGAAGAUGGGCCCCCUAGAAUUUCUAGUAGGUCCUCAGGGAUGAGGUUGCAAGCACCAAGAAAAUUUUUUCUGAACCAUAACAGACGUCGUUAAGUACUCACAGCUGGGCAAACAGGCGGUGUGUUGGCAUGGGGCGUUCCAUGCCACGGACCUAGCAAAGGUAAGGUGAUAUAUAUUUGUGUGUGUCUAUAAAAAACUAAGAGAGAUUAUUUCCAUUCCAUGCAACAAACUUGUCCGUACACACGCCCACAAACACACAUAUUUGAACAUAUUUUUGCUGUGUGUUCUACGUUUCCCUUUGUGAUAAUACGUUUUUCCAUUACAGAUACAAACAGGUUAGUCCUCCGAGGAAGAAAUUAUAUAUUUUAUUCUAUG